Molecule: ribosomal RNA, 553 nt
Filed under: uncultured Nitrososphaerota archaeon
Lineage: Archaea; Thermoproteati; Nitrososphaerota
Description: bacterial SSU rRNA
Rfam family: Archaeal small subunit ribosomal RNA
Source: RNAcentral
ACGGGGUGCAGCAGGCGCGAAACCUUUGCAAUGUGCGCAAGCGCGACAAGGUUAAUCCGAGUGUUUCCUGCUAAAGGAAUCUUUUGUUAGUCGUAAAACCACUGAUGAAUAAGGGGUGGGCAAGUUCUGGUGUCAGCCGCCGCGGUAAAACCAGCACCUCAAGUGGUCAGGAGGAUUAUUGGGCCUAAAGCAUCCGUAGCCGGCUCUGCAAGUUUUCGGUUAAAUCCAUUUGCUUAACAAAUGGGCUGCCGAAAAUACUACAUAGCUAGGGAGUGGGAGAGGUAGACGGUAUUCGGUAGGAAGGGGUAAAAUCCUUUGAUCUAUUGAGGACCACCUAUGGCGAAGGCAGUCUACCAGAACACGUUCGACGGUGAGGGAUGAAAGCUGGGGGAGCAAACCGGAUUAGAUACCCGGGUAGUCCCAGCUGUAAACGAUGCAGACUCGGUGAUGCACUGGCUUGUGGCCAGUGCAGUGCCGCAGGGAAGCCGUUAAGUUUGCCGCCUGGGAAGUACGUACGCAAGUAUGAAACUUAAAGGAAUUGGCGGGGGAGCAC